This 502-nucleotide ribosomal RNA is filed under the name uncultured bacterium. Its description in RNAcentral is "partial 16S ribosomal RNA". It matches the Rfam family "Bacterial small subunit ribosomal RNA", at positions 30 to 523 of the family's 1533-position model. The record is from RNAcentral.
AUUGAACGCUGGCGGCAUGCCUUACACAUGCAAGUCGAACGGCAGCAUAGGAGCUUGCUCCUGAUGGCGAGUGGCGAACGGGUGAGUAAUAUAUCGGAACGUGCCCUAGAGUGGGGGAUAACUAGUCGAAAGACUAGCUAAUACCGCAUACGAUCUACGGAUGAAAGUGGGGGAUCGCAAGACCUCAUGCUCCUGGAGCGGCCGAUAUCUGAUUAGCUAGUUGGUGGGGUAAAAGCCUACCAAGGCGACGAUCAGUAGCUGGUCUGAGAGGACGACCAGCCACACUGGGACUGAGACACGGCCCAGACUCCUACGGGAGGCAGCAGUGGGGAAUUUUGGACAAUGGGGGCAACCCUGAUCCAGCAAUGCCGCGUGAGUGAAGAAGGCCUUCGGGUUGUAAAGCUCUUUUGUCAGGGAAGAAACGGUAGUAGCUAAUAUCUACUACUAAUGACGGUACCUGAAGAAUAAGCACCGGCUAACUACGUGCCAGCAGCCGCCGUAA